CAGCUGUUUAGAUCCUCGUCAUGCUGUCGCCAAUCGUCUCACAAGCUUAUCGAUUAGCUUAUCGAUUGUAUUCCGACGAUUAGGAGUUUUCUGAAUAAAUUGCUCACAAGAAAUUCAAAUUUACCAGCUUGGCUCGAUGAGAGGACCAGAAUGAAGGGCACAAUGGCAACCAACAUUAUCCGUGGUACACCAUUGCGAUCAUGUCGACGCGAAUUGUCUCGCAUCCUCGGUUCAUCCAAUUAUAAAAGUUAAAUGGCGGUAAGGAAAUUUUGGUGGAAAGACGGUGGAGAAUUUCGCUCGAUGAAAUAACAACGGCAGGCCACAAAGGAAGGAAGUGAGAGGGAGAUGGAAUAAAAAGAAAAAUGAAAAAAGGUGGAGCAAGGGAUGAAGCAAUGAACAGCAGAAAAGGUUGACGCAGUUGUGAGGCUGAUAACCGCACCGGGUAUUACUCUGACCAAAACGAAACAGGUAUUUUGCAGAUGUAUGAGUGCGUUACA
This is a long non-coding RNA of Fopius arisanus, 497 nucleotides long. RefSeq lists it as uncharacterized. The transcript has 3 exons. The record is from RefSeq and is a predicted model, not a curated record. NCBI's taxonomy places the organism in Eukaryota, Metazoa, Arthropoda, Insecta, Hymenoptera, Braconidae.